This 322-nucleotide ribosomal RNA is filed under the name Aspergillus niger. Its description in RNAcentral is "LSU rRNA". It matches the Rfam family "Eukaryotic large subunit ribosomal RNA", at positions 331 to 671 of the family's 3401-position model. The record is from RNAcentral. Lineage: Eukaryota; Fungi; Ascomycota; Eurotiomycetes; Eurotiales; Aspergillaceae.
AGACCGAUAGCGAACAAGUAGAGUGAUCGAAAGAUGAAAAGCACUUUGAAAAGAGAGUUAAACAGCACGUGAAAUUGUUGAAAGGGAAGCGCUUGCGACCAGACUCGCCCGCGGGGUUCAGCCGGCAUUCGUGCCGGUGUACUUCCCCGUGGGCGGGCCAGCGUCGGUUUGGGCGGCCGGUCAAAGGCCCCUGGAAUGUAGUACCCUCCGGGGUACCUUAUAGCCAGGGGUGCAAUGCGGCCAGCCUGGACCGAGGAACGCGCUUCGGCACGGACGCUGGCAUAAUGGUCGUAAACGACCCGUCUUGAAACACGGACAAAGA